CAAUAGCGUAUAUUAAAGUUGUUGCGGUUAAAAAGCUCGUAGUUGGAUUUCUGCUGAGAACGACCGGUCCGCCCUUUGGGUGUGUAUCUGGCUCUUUCUUGGCAUCUUCUUGGUGAACGUUGCUGCACUUGACUGUGUGGAGCGCUACCCAGGACUUUUACUUUGAGGAAAUUAGAGUGUUUCAAGCAGGCAUACGCCUUGAAUACAUUAGCAUGGAAUAAUAAGAUAGGACCUCGGUUCUAUUUUGUUGGUUUCUAGAGCUGAGGUAAUGAUUAAUAGGGAUAGUUGGGGGCAUUCGUAUUUAACUGUCAAAGGUGAAAUUCUUGGAUUUGUUAAAGACGGACUACUGCGAAAGCAUUUGCCAAGGAUGUUUNCAUUG
This 379-nucleotide ribosomal RNA is filed under the name uncultured eukaryote. RNAcentral describes it as "partial 18S ribosomal RNA". It matches the Rfam family "Eukaryotic small subunit ribosomal RNA", at positions 592 to 975 of the family's 1831-position model. The record is from RNAcentral.